CUACGGGUGGCAGCAGUGAGGAAUAUUGCACAAUGGGGGGAACCCUGAUGCAGCAACGCCGCGUGGAGGAUGACGCAUUUCGGUGUGUAAACUCCUUUUAUAUGUCAAGAAAAUGACGGUAGCAUAUGAAUAAGCACCGGCUAACUCCGUGCCAGCAGCCGCGGUAAUACGGAGGGUGCAAGCGUUACUCGGAAUCACUGGGCGUAAAGGACGCGUAGGCGGGUUGGAAAGUCAGGUGUGAAAUCCUACAGCUUAACUGUAGAACUGCACUUGAAACUUCUAAUCUAGAGUAUGGGAGGGGGAGAUGGAAUUAGUGGUGUAGGGGUAAAAUCCAUAGAUAUCACUAGGAAUACCUAAAGCGAAGGCGAUCUCCUGGAACAUUACUGACGCUAAGGCGUGAAAGCGUAGGGAGCAAACAGGAUUAGAUACCCGCGUAGUC
This 439-nucleotide ribosomal RNA is filed under the name uncultured bacterium. RNAcentral describes it as "partial 16S ribosomal RNA". It matches the Rfam family "Bacterial small subunit ribosomal RNA", at positions 339 to 795 of the family's 1533-position model. The record is from RNAcentral.